This 210-nucleotide ribosomal RNA is filed under the name Triticum aestivum (bread wheat). RNAcentral describes it as "partial small subunit ribosomal RNA". Lineage: Eukaryota; Viridiplantae; Streptophyta; Magnoliopsida; Poales; Poaceae. The record is from RNAcentral.
AUGAUGUCGACUCUCUGGACUACCCGCAAUAAGAUGGUGAUUGAGCGGGUGUUCCCGCGACGUGCUUCUGACUCGUUCUUCAAAUUUCUUGCCUUCCUGCAGCACUGGCAUCCGCUCGCUAGGCCGAGGGAUCGUGAUCGUCUUCAGCUUCUCUUGGACGCCCUGGUGUCUUCUGUGCGCCGGCUCUCCGACCGCUUGUCUGCUACUUAG